GGGGACGUGGCUCAGUUGGGAGAGCGCCGCAUUCGCAUUGCGGAGGUCGUGGGUUCGAAUCCCAUCGUCUCCACCA
This 76-nucleotide transfer RNA is filed under the name Bacillota bacterium. RNAcentral's name for it is "Firmicutes bacterium (anaerobic digester metagenome) tRNA-Ala". It matches the Rfam family "tRNA". From Rfam's summary of the family: Transfer RNA (tRNA) molecules are approximately 80 nucleotides in length. Their secondary structure includes four short double-helical elements and three loops (D, anti-codon, and T loops). Lineage: Bacteria; Bacillati; Bacillota. The record is from RNAcentral. RNAcentral also lists the same sequence under 1 other name.